RNAcentral lists this ribosomal RNA (61 nucleotides) under Amanita sp. 'PORT03'. Its description in RNAcentral is "Amanita sp. 'sp-PORT03' partial 28S ribosomal RNA". It matches the Rfam family "Eukaryotic large subunit ribosomal RNA", at positions 1 to 59 of the family's 3401-position model. Lineage: Eukaryota; Fungi; Basidiomycota; Agaricomycetes; Agaricales; Amanitaceae. The record is from RNAcentral.
UCUGACCUCAAAUCAGGUAGGAUUACCCGCUGAACUUAAGCAUAUCAAUAAGCGGAGAAAA